GAUGAACGCUGGCGGCGUGCCUAAUACAUGCAAGUCGAGCGAACAGACGAGAAGCUUGCUUCUCUGAUGUUAGCGGCGAACGGGUGAGUAACACGUGGGUAACCUACCUAUAAGACUGGGAUAACUCCGGGAAACCGGGGCUAAUACCGGAUAAUAUUUUGAACCGCAUGGUUCGAUAGUGAAAGACGGUUUCGGCUGUCACUUAUAGAUGGACCCGCGCCGUAUUAGCCAGUUGGUAAGGUAACGGCUUAACAAGGCGACGAUACGUAGCCGACCUGAGAGGGUGAUCGGCCACACUGGAACUGAGACACGGUCCAGACUCCUACGGGAGGCAGCAGUAGGGAAUCUUCCGCAAUGGGCGAAAGCCUGACGGAGCAACGCCGCGUGAGUGAUGAAGGUCUUCGGAUCGUAAAACUCUGUUGUUAGGGAAGAACAAAUUUGUUAGUAACUGAACAAGUCUUGACGGUACCUAACCAGAAAGCCACGGCUAACUACGUGCCAGCCGCCGCGGUAA
This 514-nucleotide ribosomal RNA is filed under the name uncultured bacterium. RNAcentral's name for it is "partial 16S ribosomal RNA". It matches the Rfam family "Bacterial small subunit ribosomal RNA", at positions 28 to 523 of the family's 1533-position model. The record is from RNAcentral.